RNAcentral lists this ribosomal RNA (284 nucleotides) under uncultured Pseudomonas sp. Its description in RNAcentral is "partial 16S ribosomal RNA". It matches the Rfam family "Bacterial small subunit ribosomal RNA", at positions 1100 to 1382 of the family's 1533-position model. Lineage: Bacteria; Pseudomonadati; Pseudomonadota; Gammaproteobacteria; Pseudomonadales; Pseudomonadaceae. The record is from RNAcentral.
AACCCUUGUCCUUAGGUUACCAGCACGUUAUGGUGGGCACUCUAAGGAGACUGCCGGUGACAAACCGGAGGAAGGUGGGGAUGACGUCAAGUCAUCAUGGCCCUUACGGCCUGGGCUACACACGUGCUACAAUGGUCGGUACAAAGGGUUGCCAAGCCGCGAGGUGGAGCUAAUCCCAUAAAACCGAUCGUAGUCCGGAUCGCAGUCUGCAACUCGACUGCGUGAAGUCGGAAUCGCUAGUAAUCGUGAAUCAGAAUGUCACGGUGAAUACGUUCCCGGGCCUU